Molecule: long non-coding RNA, 583 nt
Organism: Perognathus longimembris pacificus (Pacific pocket mouse)
Lineage: Eukaryota; Metazoa; Chordata; Mammalia; Rodentia; Heteromyidae
Exons: 3
Source: RefSeq, a predicted model, not a curated record
AUAUAUAUAUAUAAAUCGCCAUCAGUCUCAUCACUGCCAAGUGACACACAAAAAGGAAGUUAACCAUUGGCUGUGACUUGCAUUCAUAGUCUGAGUCGCAUUUCCCAGCUCCCCUUCGCCCAUUCUGAAGCCAAGUGGACUCCAGCUUGCCCAUUUCAUUCCGACCACGGCAGCCAAAAAAAGCACUGCCCCACCGUGCGAUGACAAGCAGGCUGUUUUGAUAUUAGUACCUCGGGAUGCACUGUAAGAGAGUCAGAUGUCCCCAAACUACAUGCCCUCCCCUGAGGGACUCUGUCCCGGCCUUCCUUGGCUAGAGAGCUGGUAAGCAUGCCACAAAUCCUUAGCUGUGAAAGCACAAGGGACAGAAAGGCACCAUCGGCCAGGCUCAGACAGAAAUGGCCACAAGGGCCUCUUCUGCUGGGGACAGAAUUCACACCCUCCAAUUCAAUGCUCCUGUCUCACUGGAAAGAUGAACUCAGAUUCUAUUCACUCUCUGCCAGCCAGCAUCCUCCAGCACAAACUGAAUUACAUAAGAAAAGGAGCCCUUUUUUUUUUGUUUUGUUUUGCUCCUAUAAUGAAAUUG